CGGGAGGCAGCAGUGGGGAAUAUUGGACAAUGGGCGCAGCAUGAUGCAGCCAUGCCGCGUGUGUGAGAAGGCCUUCGGAUUGUAAAGCACUUUUGUUGGGAGGAUGGUCAUUGAGUUAAUACCUUGGUGUUUUGACGUUACCUUGCCAACAACCACCGGCAUACUUCGUGCCAGCAGCCGCGGUAAUACGUAGGGUGCGAGCGUUAAUCGGAUUUACUGGGCGUAAAGCGUGUGUAGGCGGUUCGCUAAGUCGGAUGUGAAAGCC
RNAcentral lists this ribosomal RNA (265 nucleotides) under uncultured bacterium. RNAcentral describes it as "partial 16S ribosomal RNA". It matches the Rfam family "Bacterial small subunit ribosomal RNA", at positions 342 to 602 of the family's 1533-position model. The record is from RNAcentral.